This 423-nucleotide ribosomal RNA is filed under the name uncultured Candidatus Parvarchaeum sp. RNAcentral describes it as "bacterial SSU rRNA". It matches the Rfam family "Archaeal small subunit ribosomal RNA", at positions 322 to 747 of the family's 1478-position model. Lineage: Archaea; Nanobdellati; Candidatus Parvarchaeota. The record is from RNAcentral.
CCUACGGGGGGCAGCAGUGGGGAAUCUUCUGCAAUGCGCGCAAGCGUGACAGAUUGAGUCAGAGUGAUUUUCAUUUGAAAAUCUUUUGCCAAAUGUAAAAAGUUUGGCGAAUAAGGACUGGGUAAGACGGGUGCCAGCCGCCGCGGUAAUACCCGCGGUCCAAGUCGCAGCCAUCAUUAUUGGGUCUAAAACAUCCGUAGCUUGCUUAAUAAGUUUCUUGUGAAAUUCUAUAUCUCAAGUAUAGAUCGGGCAAGAAGUACUGUUGAGCUAGAGACUGGAAGACGUAAGAAGUACGUUUGGAGUAGCGGUAAAAUGUGUUAAUCCCAGACGGACUAACAACAGCGAAGGCAUCUUACGAGGACAGUUCUGACAGUAAGGGAUGAAGGCCAGGGGCGCAAAACGGAUUAGAUACCCUCGUAGUCC